RNAcentral lists this ribosomal RNA (402 nucleotides) under uncultured bacterium. RNAcentral's name for it is "bacterial SSU rRNA". It matches the Rfam family "Bacterial small subunit ribosomal RNA", at positions 29 to 457 of the family's 1533-position model. The record is from RNAcentral.
AACGAACGCUGGCGGCAUGCCUAACACAUGCAAGUCGAACGAGACCUUCGGGUCUAGUGGCGCACGGGUGCGUAACGCGUGGGAAUCUGCCCUUGGGUUCGGAAUAACAGCGAGAAAUUGCUGCUAAUACCGGAUGAUGACGUAAGUCCAAAGAUUUAUCGCCCAAGGAUGAGCCCGCGUAGGAUUAGCUAGUUGGUGAGGUAAAGGCUCACCAAGGCGACGAUCCUUAGCUGGUCUGAGAGGAUGAUCAGCCACACUGGGACUGAGACACGGCCCAGACUCCUACGGGAGGCAGCAGUGGGGAAUAUUGGACAAUGGGCGAAAGCCUGAUCCAGCAAUGCCGCGUGAGUGAUGAAGGCCUUAGGGGUUGUAAAGCUCUUUUACCCGGGAUGAUAAUGACAG